GGCCCGCGGCCUAUCAGCUAGUUGGUGAGGUAAUGGCUCACCAAGGCAUCGACGGGUAGCUGGUCUGAGAGGACGAUCAGCCACACUGGGACUGAGACACGGCCCAGACUCCUACGGGAGGCAGCAGUAGGGAAUCUUGCGCAAUGGGCGAAAGCCUGACGCAGCAAUGCCGCGUGCGGGACGAAGGCCCUAGGGUCGUAAACCGCUUUCAGUAGGGACGAAAAUGACGGUACCUGCAGAAGAAGCUCCGGCCAACUACGUGCCAGCAGCCGCGGUGAUACGUAGGGAGCAAGCGUUGUCCGGAAUUACUGGGCGUAAAGGGCUCGUAGGUGGUUGAGUAAGUCAGAUGUGAAAUCUCAGGGCCCAACCCUGAGCCUGCAUUUGAUACUGCUCUGACUAGAGUCCGGUAGGGGAGUGCGGAACUCCUGGUGUAGCGGUGAAAUGCGCAGAUAUCAGGAAGAACACCGACAGCGAAGGCAGCACUCUGG
RNAcentral lists this ribosomal RNA (488 nucleotides) under uncultured bacterium. RNAcentral describes it as "bacterial SSU rRNA". It matches the Rfam family "Bacterial small subunit ribosomal RNA", at positions 228 to 732 of the family's 1533-position model. The record is from RNAcentral.